GUGGGGAAUAUUGGACAAUGGGCGAAAGCCUGAUCCAGCCAUGCCGCGUGAGUGAUGAAGGCCCUAGGGUUGUAAAGCUCUUUCACCGGGGAAGAUAAUGACGGUACCCGGAGAAGAAGCCCCGGCUAACUUCGUGCCAGCAGCCGCGGUAAUACGAAGGGGGCUAGCGUUGUUCGGAAUUACUGGGCGUAAAGCGCACGUAGGCGGAUCAGUCAGUUAGGGGUGAAAUCCCAGGGCUCAACCCUGGAACUGCCUUUAAUACUGCUGAUCUAGAGUUCGAGAGAGGUGAGUGGAAUUCCGAGUGUAGAGGUGAAAUUCGUAGAUAUUCGGAGGAACACCAGUGGCGAAGGCGGCUCACUGGCUCGAUACUGACGCUGAGGUGCGAAAGCGUGGGGAGCAAACAGGAUUAGAAACCCCUGUAGUCC
Molecule: ribosomal RNA, 425 nt
Filed under: uncultured bacterium
Lineage: Bacteria
Description: partial 16S ribosomal RNA
Rfam family: Bacterial small subunit ribosomal RNA
Source: RNAcentral